AGAGUAAAAUAGUACGUGAAAUUGUUGAAAGGGAAACGAUUGAAGCCAGUCGUACCUUCGGGUAAUCAGCCUUUUCGGGUGCGAUUCUGUGGGGUUUGAUGAGCUUAACACCUUCAUGCUCUGCAUAUUCGUGCUCUUGGGUGUACUUGCCCGUGUGGUUGGUUAACAUCAAUUUUGGUGGUCAUAAAAUGACUGGAGGAAUGUAGCUUCGAUCUUGUAUUGAAGUGUUAUAGCCUUCGGUAGAUGUGAUGAUCGAGAUUGAGGAUUGCAACGGAUACCCUUCGGGGCUACCUGUCUGAUCUCUGAUCGUUGCUCUGGUGCCGAAAGCUUGCUUACGGUUAUCAAAGUCGAUGGUCAAUAGGUUAGAAUGGGUUAAAUUCGUUAAGGAUGUUGACGUAAUGGCUUUAAACGACC
Molecule: ribosomal RNA, 414 nt
Filed under: uncultured fungus
Lineage: Eukaryota; Fungi
Description: eukaryotic LSU rRNA
Source: RNAcentral